Gopherus agassizii (Agassiz's desert tortoise) is the source of this 679-nucleotide long non-coding RNA. The record is from Ensembl. Lineage: Eukaryota; Metazoa; Chordata; Testudines; Testudinidae.
AGCACUGGUAUAUUCCCCCUAGGGAUCUGUGAAGACAGAAUUUAUUCUACCGCACCAGAAAUGUUUAUCAAAACCCAAGUUAAUUGCCAAAAUAGUGAGACUGCAAACUGAAAAUCCUGAUCAUCCCUAACAGAGCUAACAUAUGAUACCCAUGUUCAACAUAAAUAUAAUGAAAUUUCAGCCAAAGAGAACUGCAAUAUUCCUACAGAAUAUGGUUCCAUCAACAUUUUCCUCAACCGACUGUAGCUUUGGGACCUACUUCUCAUGUGCUGUGGUGGAUGUGAUCAAGCCAAUUCAUGUGCUGAGACGGUCUUUCCAACAUCUAUGGGGUUAAUUUUGCAUCAAAGUCAGAAGGGAAUUGCUGUCAUUUCCAGUACAGGGCAGGAAGGAAAAAGCCAGCACAGAGCUGCUGUUAAUUCAGUGAAGAAACAUUGCUGGAAUACACAAAAUGGACAGGGCGCAGAAUCUGGCUGCAGAGGACAUUUGAGUGGAAGGUACUGGACAUGAGAGAGAGUUAAGGCUGCAUUUGUUAUUCUUUUUAAAUCGUUCUGCCUAAAUUAAGCAAACUCACUUAACAUACAGAUUGUAACUUCUGGGGGAAUUCUGCGCACAAAUUUUAAAAUUUUGCAACUUUCUGCAUAUUUUAUUUGUCAAAACAACACAAUAAAAUCAUGCCGGU